Molecule: transfer RNA, 85 nt
Filed under: Barnesiella sp. An55
Lineage: Bacteria; Pseudomonadati; Bacteroidota; Bacteroidia; Bacteroidales; Barnesiellaceae
Description: tRNA-Lys
Rfam family: tRNA (bases 21-77)
About the family: Transfer RNA (tRNA) molecules are approximately 80 nucleotides in length. Their secondary structure includes four short double-helical elements and three loops (D, anti-codon, and T loops). Further hydrogen bonds mediate the characteristic L-shaped molecular structure. tRNAs have two regions of fundamental functional importance: the anti-codon, which is responsible for specific mRNA codon recognition, and the 3' end, to which the tRNAs corresponding amino acid is attached (by aminoacyl-tRNA synthetases). tRNAs cope with the degeneracy of the genetic code in two manners: having more than one tRNA (with a specific anti-codon) for a particular amino acid; and 'wobble' base-pairing, i.e. permitting non-standard base-pairing at the 3rd anti-codon position.
Source: RNAcentral
GGUCCCGUUUAAAAGUUUAUUGGCUAAUCUUGGAAGCAAAUGACUCUUAAUCAUUGGGUCGAGGGUUCGAGCCCCUCCGGGGUCA